ACGAACGCUGGCGGCAGGCCUAACACAUGCAAGUCGAGCGAGGACUUCGGUCCUAGCGGCGGACGGGUGAGUAACGCGUGGGAACGUGCCCUUUGCUUCGGAAUAGCCCUGGGAAACUGGGAGUAAUACCGGAUGAGCCCUUUGGGGGAAAGAUUUAUCGGCGAAGGAUCGGCCCGCGUUGGAUUAGGUAGUUGGUGGGGUAAUGGCCUACCAAGCCGACGAUCCAUAGCUGGUUUGAGAGGAUGAUCAGCCACACUGGGACUGAGACACGGCCCAGACUCCUACGGGAGGCAGCAGUGGGGAAUCUUAGACAAUGGGGGAAACCCUGAUCUAGCCAUGCCGCGUGAGCGAUGAAGGCCUUAGGGUUGUAAAGCUCUUUCAGCUGGGCAGAUAAUGACGGUACCAGCAGAAGAAGCCCCGGCUAACUCCGUG
Molecule: ribosomal RNA, 432 nt
Filed under: uncultured bacterium
Lineage: Bacteria
Description: partial 16S ribosomal RNA
Rfam family: Bacterial small subunit ribosomal RNA
Source: RNAcentral